Molecule: ribosomal RNA, 161 nt
Filed under: Centaurea decipiens
Lineage: Eukaryota; Viridiplantae; Streptophyta; Magnoliopsida; Asterales; Asteraceae
Description: 5.8S ribosomal RNA
Rfam family: 5.8S ribosomal RNA
About the family: 5.8S ribosomal RNA (5.8S rRNA) is a component of the large subunit of the eukaryotic ribosome. It is transcribed by RNA polymerase I as part of the 45S precursor that also contains 18S and 28S rRNA. Functionally, it is thought that 5.8S rRNA may be involved in ribosome translocation.
Source: RNAcentral
UCUCGGCAACGGAUAUCUCGGCUCACGCAUCGAUGAAGAACGUAGCAAAAUGCGAUACUUGGUGUGAAUUGCAGAAUCCCGUGAACCAUCGAGUUUUUGAACGCAAGUUGCGCCCGAAGCCAUUCGGSCGAGGGCACGUCUGCCUGGGCGUCACGCAUCGC